RNAcentral lists this transfer RNA (69 nucleotides) under Pontia edusa. RNAcentral's name for it is "tRNA-Gln". Lineage: Eukaryota; Metazoa; Arthropoda; Insecta; Lepidoptera; Pieridae. The record is from RNAcentral.
UAUAUUUUAAUGUAUAAUGCAUAGUAAUUUUUGAGAUUACAGGAUAUAGUUUAAUUCUAUAAAAUAUAA